UUUUUCCUCUGGCCAGAAGGGAUUUAAAGGUGUUUACCCUUCCCUUUAUAUUUAUGAUAUCCCCCUACUUCUCCCUCUGGCAGUGUCCUGUUUUUGCAAGCUGGAGAGUCAGGUUCUGAUGGGUCCAGCAGCCCCUAGUGGUGGCCAGCAGCUCUGCAGCACCAAUUCUGCAGGGAAAAUGAAAUUCUGCACAAAACAUUAAUUCUGUGCAAAUUCUGCAUUGUGCAGUGGUGCAGAAUUCCUCCAGGAGUAGAUAAUGUCAUGAAGGGAGGAAACACUCACUUGUCUGACACCAGGCUUAAGGGCAUGAACAAGAAGGGUUUACAAAGCCUGAAUCUUUAUUGAAGCUUCUAUCUUCAACCUCUAGGUUUCUUAUUCCCAUUCUAUCUGACUCUGUUGUUUUUAAAGCAAUAAUACCUUAAAGCGAUAGAACUGUUCCCUGACAUCAUACCUCUUUGAAGCUAAAUAACUUCUGUUUUUAAACAUAAAUAACCUUUUGAGUUAAGCUGAACUUGUACUAACUAAAUAGUAAGUAGCCUCCAUUUUAGUAACCUCUGAAGAACACAUGGGGUUCCCAACUAGAGUCUUAAUCAAUGACUCUGUUCAUCUUAACCUGCUACAGCUUACCUAGCAAAUCAACCAUAAUGAUAUCUAUCAAUGUACCUCAGUUCAUUGGAUAUGUCUUAUGUGGUUUUCUUGCCAUAGCUGUUUCUGCAAUGGAACUUCUGGAUUCUCUAGGGGUUGGACAUUUCAUGACUAGCUUUGCCUUCCUCCUGAAGGCCUCUAUUCAGCACAACUCUUAAGCAUAUGCUUACCUUUAAACAUGUGCUUAAAUCCUACUGAAACCAAUAGGACUUAAGUGCUUGGUUUAACAGAAUCUGUGGCAUCACCCAUGAAACUGAUCCUGUGAAUUGGUAAUGUAAGUGCUCUGUCUUAGUCUGUUUUCCCAAAUAUGUAAUUAACUUUGCAUCUUAGUUUUCAUUUUAAACUUCUGUUUUCACUCAUAAUUUAUUCUAAAUGUUUCCCUUUAAGAUGAAAGUUUCCAGGCAUAGUCUCAACCAAAAGUAUAAAUUUUGGAAAGUUUGAAUGAAAUCUUCCAGGUUUUUUUUUUUCUCGAGAGGAGGAAAAAAAAAAUCUAUAUAUCAACUUUCAGUUUUUUAAAAUUACUUUUAGUGCAUGGCCAACUUAAAUGGCUGAACUUUGAAACUUCCAGCCUCAGAGGUGUCUAGACCUCAAUGAGGAAUAGUUUUUGGUGCACAUUUUUUAAAGAAUUUUAAAAACUAGUUAUAAGUGACUAAAGGUUCAAUUGUGCACUGUUUAGUCACAUGGUGAGUUGUUACAUGAGUACAGUACUCUCAUUGUAGUCAAUGGGUCUCUAUGGUAUCUCAAUUAGAUUUCAGUGGGACUUCUUGUGUGAGUGAUUCUCCAUCCAAUCUGAGUAAGGGCUCACAGUCUGGCUUUAAAUAUUUGUUUUACACAUGUGCAGUUCAGGAUUUCUUAUUGUCUGUUCAGUAAUUGAUUAUGACCCUAUGGAAUUUGCUUCUACUGUACAACUCCAUAGUGCUAUAACUAGAGUUUUUGCAUAUUUACAGUUUGGUACAGUUUAAAACAUAUGGAGCCAGGCAAUACACAAUUACACAACUGUACUAACACUGUCAGGGUCUUCUCUUUUUCUUUGUACUCUUCAAAAAGGCAAUUAAAUAUCAAAACCUAUGUGAAUGCAGAAUCAUGGUUGCAAAUUUGAACAAAAAACACCAGAAAAUGCAAAUAUAAAGAUUCCAAUAAUAAUAAUAAUAAAUUCGAUCAUGUGUUACAUAGUGAGCCAGAUCCUCUGAUAAAUCACUGAAGUCAGCAAAGCAAUGCCAAGGAUUUGGCCAGUAUAUUGUAAAUUGAAAAUGCAGCAUUCUAAACAAAAACUAUAUAACAUGCCAACAUAGGAAUGCUAGCAGCAUGGUCAGUAGUACAUAAGGUAAAGAGGAAGGAGGAAACUGAACUUCUGUCAUAUCUGAAUAAUAAUAAUAAACAAUGGUUAAAUCCCAGAAUCCUUGCACACUCAAAACUUUCACUGAAGUCACUUGGCGUUUUCUUUGUGUAUAGAGGGCAGGAUUGUGCUCCUAAUCUGGGAGUGUAAUGAUAAAAUAGAGCGAAUGUUAACACUGUUUUUCAUUGUUCAGAAGUCAUUACUACUGAUUGUGACUAUUCCAAAGCAUAUGAAUUAAACAGAGAUUUAUGAUGAA
This is a long non-coding RNA of Dermochelys coriacea (leatherback sea turtle), 2237 nucleotides long. RefSeq lists it as uncharacterized. The record is from RefSeq and is a predicted model, not a curated record. The transcript has 2 exons. NCBI's taxonomy places the organism in Eukaryota, Metazoa, Chordata, Testudines, Dermochelyidae.